Molecule: ribosomal RNA, 529 nt
Filed under: Selenops sp. n. 6 SCC-2010
Lineage: Eukaryota; Metazoa; Arthropoda; Arachnida; Araneae; Selenopidae
Description: partial 16S ribosomal RNA
Rfam family: Bacterial large subunit ribosomal RNA (bases 99-396)
Source: RNAcentral
UUUAAAUGAAGACCAGAACAAAAGAUUAAACGUUUAAAUCAAUAUCUUCAAUUAAAAAAUUCAAAAUUUUUUUAAAUGUAAAAAAACAUUUAUCCAAAAGAAAGACGACAAGACCCUAUUGAACUUAACUAUAGUUAAACUGGGGCAGUUAAUUAAUAAUUAUUUUAAUUUAAUUUUUUUAAAAAAUAUCCAAUAUUAUUGAUUUAUAAUCCAGUUACCAUAGGGAUAACAGCGUAAUAAUUUUCUAAAGCUCUUAUAAAAAUAAUAGUUUACGACCUCGAUGUUGAAUUAAUAACCUAAUUUUAGUAAAAGAAAAUUAAGGAAGUCUGUUCGACUUUUAAAAAAUUACAUGAUUUGAGUUCAGACCGGUAUAAGCCAGGUCGGUUUCUAUCUUCUUCAGAUUUCUUAUAGUACGAAAGGGCCUAAGAAAAUAAUUUAAUUAUUUAAUUGGCAGAAAAUUGCAUUAGAAUUAGAAUCUAAUAAAACUCCAAUCUCAUUUAUAUUAUCCUUCCUUAUUAUUACCCUAAGU